CUCCGGAGGGUGCGAGCGUUAAUCGGAAUUACUGGGCGUAAAGCGUACGUAGGCGGUUGGUUAAGUUAGAUGUGAAAGCCCCGGGCUUAACCUGGGAACUGCAUUUAAAACUGGCGAACUAGAGUUGAGUAGAGGGGAGUGGAAUUUCAGGUGUAGCGGUGAAAUGCGUAGAGAUCUGAAGGAACACCAGUGGCGAAGGCGACUCCCUGGACUCGAACUGACGCUGAGGUACGAAAGCGUGGGUAGCAAACGGGAUUAGAAACCCUAGUAGUCC
This 274-nucleotide ribosomal RNA is filed under the name uncultured bacterium. Its description in RNAcentral is "partial 16S ribosomal RNA". It matches the Rfam family "Bacterial small subunit ribosomal RNA", at positions 523 to 796 of the family's 1533-position model. The record is from RNAcentral.